UCCCUGGUGGCUCAGAUGGUGAAGCGUCUGCCUGCAAUGCGGGUGACCUGAGUUCGAUCCCUGGCUUGGGAA
RNAcentral lists this transfer RNA (72 nucleotides) under Bos indicus (zebu cattle). It matches the Rfam family "tRNA". Rfam says of the family: Transfer RNA (tRNA) molecules are approximately 80 nucleotides in length. Their secondary structure includes four short double-helical elements and three loops (D, anti-codon, and T loops). Further hydrogen bonds mediate the characteristic L-shaped molecular structure. tRNAs have two regions of fundamental functional importance: the anti-codon, which is responsible for specific mRNA codon recognition, and the 3' end, to which the tRNAs corresponding amino acid is attached (by aminoacyl-tRNA synthetases). tRNAs cope with the degeneracy of the genetic code in two manners: having more than one tRNA (with a specific anti-codon) for a particular amino acid; and 'wobble' base-pairing, i.e. permitting non-standard base-pairing at the 3rd anti-codon position. The record is from Rfam by way of RNAcentral. RNAcentral also lists the same sequence under 1 other name. Lineage: Eukaryota; Metazoa; Chordata; Mammalia; Artiodactyla; Bovidae.